AGUAUGUGCAGCACCGGUGCAGAUCCCUGCUGAAUAUUAGGCACGGCUGUAGUGUUAACGUUGGAGUAAAGUAUCCUUGAACGUAGUAAAUUUGGGAGUUUUCCUACAAAUGAUGACCGAGGUGGUGAUACUGUGAUAUUCUCCAGUCCGGUAGGGAACUCAAAGUUGAUGUGCUUUCGGCAACACGAAUAUUUGGUUCUCAUAUCAUCCAUUCCUGCUGAAGCUUGAGCAUGGAUUGAAAAGGAAGUUCUUACAUUCAGUAGGCAAGAGCAACAGUGAAUAGAUCAGCAGUGAGUAGCAAGCUCAAAGAAAACGGAAGGCCAACCAAAAAAAGUGGAAAGCUGGAUAUCCGGAAUCAAAGUCACAUAAUUAUCUUGUACUCCAAAAAAAAUGUACAUUGAUAAGACAUCAAUUUUCCUGACUUGCAACUUCUGUAUCUAACAAAAUGGAUACACCAAGGACUGCAGCUGUUCAUGUAGACUUAAAACUCUUGUACUCAAUUGCUAAAGAACAAUGUAAAGAUCCAAUGAGGAAAAAAGCACUAAAGAUUUGAUCGAAGCAUGUACAUGAACAAAAGAAUGGAUUCUUCAGCGUCCUCAACAAUCUGACGCCCA
Molecule: long non-coding RNA, 614 nt
Organism: Hypanus sabinus (Atlantic stingray)
Lineage: Eukaryota; Metazoa; Chordata; Chondrichthyes; Myliobatiformes; Dasyatidae
Exons: 4
Source: RefSeq, a predicted model, not a curated record